GUGGGGAAUCUUAGACAAUGGGGGCAACCCUGAUCUAGCCAUGCCGCGUGAGUGAUGAAGGCCUUAGGGUCGUAAAGCUCUUUCGCUGGGGAAGAUAAUGACGGUACCCAGUAAAGAAACCCCGGCUAACUCCGUGCCAGCAGCCGCGGUAAUACGGAGGGGGUUAGCGUUGUUCGGAAUUACUGGGCGUAAAGCGCGCGUAGGCGGAUUGGAAAGUUGGGGGUGAAAUCCCGGGGCUCAACCCUGGAAUGGCCUUCAAAACUCCCAGUCUUGAGGUCGAGAGAGGUGAGUGGAAUUCCGAGUGUAGAGGUGAAAUUCGUAGAUAUUCGGAAGAACACCAGUGGCGAAGGCGACUCACUGGCCCAAUACUGACGCUGAGGCGCGAAAGCGUGGGGAGCAAACAGGAUUAGAAACCCCUGUAGUCC
This 425-nucleotide ribosomal RNA is filed under the name uncultured bacterium. Its description in RNAcentral is "partial 16S ribosomal RNA". It matches the Rfam family "Bacterial small subunit ribosomal RNA", at positions 354 to 796 of the family's 1533-position model. The record is from RNAcentral.